CCAGACGGCCGGAUGGCCGCCGUCGCCGCCUCAGGCGCGCGGCGGAGGAAAGUCCGGGCUCCACGGAAGCACGGAGCCGGGUAACACCCGGCGGGGGCGACCCCAGGGAAAGUGCCACAGAGAGCAGACCGCUCGCCCCGGGCCGCGAGGCUGGCGAGCAAGGGUGAAAGGGUGCGGUAAGAGCGCACCGCGCACCCGGUAACGGGGGCGGCAUGGCAAACCCCUUCGGGAGCAAGACCAAGUAGGGGCGGCACAGGGGGCGGUCGCAAGGCCGUUUCCGGGUUGGUUUCCGGGCCCGCCGCCCGGGUCGGUCGCGCGAGGCGCCCGGUGACGGGCGUCCCAGAUGAAUGGCCAUCGCGCGGGCCCGCGUGGCCCGCGACAGAACCCGGCUUACAGGCCGUCUGGCGCU
This 409-nucleotide RNase P RNA is filed under the name Rhodospirillales bacterium. RNAcentral's name for it is "RNase P RNA component class A". It matches the Rfam family "Bacterial RNase P class A". Rfam says of the family: Ribonuclease P (RNase P) is a ubiquitous endoribonuclease, found in archaea, bacteria and eukarya as well as chloroplasts and mitochondria. Its best characterised activity is the generation of mature 5'-ends of tRNAs by cleaving the 5'-leader elements of precursor-tRNAs. The record is from RNAcentral. Lineage: Bacteria; Pseudomonadati; Pseudomonadota; Alphaproteobacteria; Rhodospirillales.